This 74-nucleotide transfer RNA is filed under the name Marmota monax (woodchuck). Its description in RNAcentral is "tRNA.Ala". Lineage: Eukaryota; Metazoa; Chordata; Mammalia; Rodentia; Sciuridae. The record is from RNAcentral.
CCGGGGGUUCAGCUUAGUGGUAGAGUGCUGGCUUAGCAUGGGAGUGGCCCUGAGUUCAACCCUCAGUACCUGGG